Molecule: ribosomal RNA, 191 nt
Filed under: uncultured bacterium
Lineage: Bacteria
Description: partial 16S ribosomal RNA
Rfam family: Bacterial small subunit ribosomal RNA
Source: RNAcentral
UACGGGGGGCAGCAGUGGGGAAUAUUGGACAAUGGGCGAAAGCCUGAUCCAGCCAUGCCGCGUGUGUGAAGAAGGCCCUCGGGUUGUAAAGCACUUUCAGUGAGGAAGAACGCCUGGUGGUUAAUACCCAUCAGGAAAGACAUCACUCACAGAAGAAGCACCGGCUAACUCCGUGCCAGCAGCCGCGGUAA